Molecule: ribosomal RNA, 1343 nt
Filed under: uncultured bacterium
Lineage: Bacteria
Description: 16S ribosomal RNA
Rfam family: Bacterial small subunit ribosomal RNA
Source: RNAcentral
GACGAACGCUGGCGGCGUGCUUAACACAUGCAAGUCGAACGGAAAGGCCCUGCUUUUGUGGGGUGCUCGAGUGGCGAACGGGUGAGUAACACGUGAGUAACCUGCCCUUGACUUUGGGAUAACUUCAGGAAACUGGGGCUAAUACCGGAUAGGAGCUCCUGCUGCAUGGUGGGGGUUGGAAAGUUUCGGCGGUUGGGGAUGGACUCGCGGCUUAUCAGCUUGUUGGUGGGGUAGUGGCUUACCAAGGCUUUGACGGGUAGCCGGCCUGAGAGGGUGACCGGCCACAUUGGGACUGAGAUACGGCCCAGACUCCUACGGGAGGCAGCAGUGGGGAAUAUUGCACAAUGGGCGGAAGCCUGAUGCAGCAACGCCGCGUGCGGGAUGACGGCCUUCGGGUUGUAAACCGCUUUCGCCUGUGACGAAGCGUGAGUGACGGUAAUGGGUAAAGAAGCACCGGCUAACUACGUGCCAGCAGCCGCGGUGAUACGUAGGGUGCGAGCGUUGUCCGGAUUUAUUGGGCGUAAAGGGCUCGUAGGUGGUUGAUCGCGUCGGAAGUGUAAUCUUGGGGCUUAACCCUGAGCGUGCUUUCGAUACGGGUUGACUUGAGGAAGGUAGGGGAGAGUGGAAUUCCUGGUGGAGCGGUGGAAUGCGCUGAUAUCAGGAGGAACACCAGUGGCGAAGGCGGUUCUCUGGGCCUUUCCUGACGCUGAGGAGCGAAAGCGUGGGGAGCGAACAGGCUUAGAUACCCUGGUAGUCCACGCUGUAAACGGUGGGUACUAGGUGUGGGGUCCAUUCCACGGGUUCCGUGCCGUAGCUAACGCUUUAAGUACCCCGCCUGGGGAGUACGGCCGCAAGGCUAAAACUCAAAGGAAUUGACGGGGCCCCGCACAAGCGGCGGAGCAUGCGGAUUAAUUCGAUGCAACGCGUAGAACCUUACCUGGGUUUGACAUGGAUCGGGAGUGCUCAGAGAUGGGUGUGCCUCCUUUGGGGUCGGUUCACAGGUGGUGCAUGGCUGUCGUCAGCUCGUGUCGUGAGAUGUUGGGUUAAGUCCCGCAACGAGCGCAACCCUUGUUCACUGUUGCCAGCACGUUAUGGUGGGGACUCAGUGGAGACCGCCGGGGUCAACUCGGAGGAAGGUGGGGAUGACGUCAAGUCAUCAUGCCCCUUAUGUCCAGGGCUUCACGCAUGCUACAAUGGCUGGUACAGAGAGUGGCGAGCCUGUGAGGGUGAGCGAAUCUCGGAAAGCCGGUCUCAGUUCGGAUUGGGGUCUGCAACUCGACCUCAUGAAGUCGGAGUCGCUAGUAAUCGCAGAUCAGCAACGCUGCGGUGAAUACGUUCCCGGG